RNAcentral lists this ribosomal RNA (428 nucleotides) under uncultured bacterium. RNAcentral's name for it is "bacterial SSU rRNA". It matches the Rfam family "Bacterial small subunit ribosomal RNA", at positions 355 to 774 of the family's 1533-position model. The record is from RNAcentral.
UAGGGAAUAUUGCGCAAUGGGCGAAAGCCUGACGCAGCAACGCCGCGUGAGGGAUGACGGCCUUCGGGUUGUAAACCUCUGUUGAGUGGGAAGAAACUUUAUCGUGUUAAUAGCACGGUAAACUGACGGUACCGCUCGAGGAAGCCCCGGCGAACUACGUGCCAGCAGCCGCGGUAAUACGUAGGGGGCGAGCGUUGUUCGGAAUUACUGGGCGUAAAGCGAGUGUAGGCGGGAGAAUAAGUUAGGAGUGAAAUAUACGGGCUCAACCCGUAUCCCGCUCUUAAUACUGUUCUCCUUGAGUGUAGGAGAGGAAAGCGGAAUUCCGGGUGUAGCGGUGGAAUGCGUAGAUAUCCGGAAGAAUACCGAUGGCGAAGGCUGCUUUCUGGCCUACCACUGACGCUGAGGCUCUAAAGCUAGGGGAGCGAACA